GACGAACGCUGGCGGCGUGCUUAACACAUGCAAGUCGUACGGUAAGGCCCUUUCGGGGGUACACGAGUGGCGAACGGGUGAGUAACACGUGAGUAACCUGCCCACAACUUUGGGAUAACGCUAGGAAACUGGUGCUAAUACUGGAUAUGUGCUCCUGCUGCAUGGUGGGGGUUGGAAAGCUCCGGCGGUUGUGGAUGGACUCGCGGCCUAUCAGCUUGUUGGUGGGGUAGUGGCCUACCAAGGCGGCGACGGGUAGCCGGACUGAGAGGGUGAGCGGCCACAUUGGGACUGAGAUACGGCCCAGACUCCUACGGGAGGCAGCAGUGGGGAAUAUUGCACAAUGGGCGCAAGCCUGAUGCAGCAACGCCGCGUGCGGGAUGACGGCCUUCGGGUUGUAAACCGCUUUCAGCAGGGACGAAGCUUUUUGUGACGGUACCUGCAGAAGAAGCACCGGCUAACUACGUG
This 465-nucleotide ribosomal RNA is filed under the name uncultured bacterium. RNAcentral describes it as "partial 16S ribosomal RNA". It matches the Rfam family "Bacterial small subunit ribosomal RNA", at positions 28 to 507 of the family's 1533-position model. The record is from RNAcentral.